UGUUAUUCCCCCUUGUCACAGCAUC
This 25-nucleotide unclassified non-coding RNA is filed under the name Mus musculus (house mouse). RNAcentral's name for it is "oocyte_clustered_small_RNA5406". Lineage: Eukaryota; Metazoa; Chordata; Mammalia; Rodentia; Muridae. The record is from RNAcentral.